GACGAACGCUGGCGGCGUGCUUAACACAUGCAAGUCGAACGGUGAAGCGCCUUCCUUUUUGGUGGGUGUGGAUGAGUGGCGAACGGGUGAGUAACACGUGAGUAACCUGCCCCCUUCUUCUGGAUAACCGCAUGAAAGUGUGGCUAAUACGGGAUAUUCUGGGUCUGUCGCAUGAUGUGUCUGGUAAAGAUAUUGUUUCGGUGGGGGAUGGGCUCGCGGCCUGUCAGCUUGUUGGUGGGGUGAUGGCCUACCAAGGCGGUGACGGGUAGGCGGCCUGAGAGGGUUGACGGCUAAGAUGGGAGAGAGCACGAGGCAAGACCACUAAGGGAGGCAGCAGUGGGGAAUAGUGCACAAUGGGAGCAAGCCUGAUGCAGCGACGCCGCGUGAGGGAUGGAGGCCUUCGGGUUGUGAACCUCUUUCGCCAGUGAAGCAGUCCUGCCUCGUGUGUGGGUGGGUUGACGGUAGCUGGAUAAGAAGCGCCGGCUAACUACGUG
RNAcentral lists this ribosomal RNA (494 nucleotides) under uncultured bacterium. Its description in RNAcentral is "partial 16S ribosomal RNA". It matches the Rfam family "Bacterial small subunit ribosomal RNA", at positions 28 to 507 of the family's 1533-position model. The record is from RNAcentral.